Molecule: long non-coding RNA, 1362 nt
Filed under: Ananas comosus (pineapple)
Lineage: Eukaryota; Viridiplantae; Streptophyta; Magnoliopsida; Poales; Bromeliaceae
Description: long non-coding RNA (ACOM_LNC030375)
Source: RNAcentral
AAUUAAUGUAUUUAAGUCAUUAUUUAUUUCUUAAAUAAUUAAAUAAUUAAAUAAAUUAUUAUUCAUAAUUAAAUAGAUAAUUAAAUAAUUGAUUAUUUAUGAUUUUAUGCAAAAUCUAAUAUUUAUGUUUAUUAACUAAUUAAUAUUUUGAGCAUUUUAAUUAUUUUAUUAACUAAUUAUCUAACUAUUAGAUAAUUAACUAAUUAAUUUAUUAAUUUACCGAAUCACUUGUAGUUAUAAAAUAACAAGUGAUUUAAUUUAUCAAGUCACUUGUGGUAUAAAAAGGGGAAUAAGCCCUUAUUCCCCACCUUUAUACCCAUACACUAUUUUGGAAAAGAGGAACAAGGGCUUUUUUGCAUUUAGCCCCUUUUGAAUUUUUUUUCAUAAAUAGUCCUACAAAAUUUAUAUUUGCAAGAUUGACCCUAUCCCCGCUACGCAAAUACCACACGAACGCCACGUGAGCAUAGUGAUAGAUUAAGUUGAACACGGUGAAUCAUUCAUCGUGUUUGGAUAUGUGAUAUGUCCUUCUUAAACCUUAAACCCCAAAUAUUACGUAAUAUCGUGGUAGAAAAAUAAUGGAAUACGGUGAACUAUUCACCGUGUUCAAACACGAUAAAUAGUUCACCGUAUUCAACUUAACCUACGGCACCAUCCAUACUCGUAUGGCGCUUACGUGGUGGGGAUAGGGCCAAUCUUGCAAAUAUAAAUUGUGUGGGGCUAUUUGUAGAAAUUUUUUUGAGGGGGCUAAAUGCAAAAAAAGCCCGAGGAAUAAUAGUUUCCCUGUUUGGAGAAUAAAAGCCUGAAACUGUUGUACCACCCUCCAUCUGGAGCAAGCUUGUUCCUAAGUGGGAACAUGCUUAAUUAAAGUCUAAAUUUAAUUUCACUUAUAGUAUUAAAUUAUUAAUUAAUCUAAUUAAUGCAUUUAAGUCAUUAUUUAUGUCACGCCCCGGGGUCCCUUUGUAUUUAAGAUCCAAUGCGAAAGUGUGCCCAAUUUUUUUUUUUUUUUUUUAAAAACUUUGACCCCAAAGUAUGUCAGAUCCGCCACAAAUACAGAAAAUCCACUGUUCACACGGACAGAGUCUUUCCUAUAUUUGCACGGCGUCGCACAAGUACAAUAUAUAACCACAAUCGUAUGAGCAUACACAUACAUUCACCAUUCACAUUUACAUUCAUUUCGUUACGAAUAUCCAUAAAUACACAUCUUUCAGUUUAAAAUGUUUUCCAUCCGGAAACUCAUUUUGAAGCACUAAGAGUCAUGAAAACAAACAAAACCAUUCUUUAAAACACGCUACCACGAGGGAUAGAAAACCGUUUUCAUCUAAAAAAAAACCAUAAGUUCUAUAAUUCAUUUACCAAAGUCAC